UGGGGAAUCUUCCGCAAUGGACGAAAGUCUGACGGAGCAACGCCGCGUGAGUGAUGACGGUCUUCGGAUUGUAAAGCUCUGUUAAUCUGGACGAAUGGUUUGUGUGCAAAUAGUGCAUAGACAUGACGGUACCGGAAUAGAAAGCCACGGCUAACUACGUGCCAGCAGCCGCGGUAAUACGUAGGUGGCAAGCGUUGUUCGGAAUUAUUGGGCGUAAAGCGCGCGCAGGCGGACUAGCCAGUCAGUCUUAAAAGUUCGGGGCUUAACCCCGUGAUGGGAUUGAAACUACUAGUCUAGAGUAUCGGAGAGGAAAGUGGAAUUCCUAGUGUAGCGGUGAAAUGAGUAGAUAUUAGGAAGAACACCAGUGGCGAAGGCGACUUUCUGGACGAACACUGACGCUGAGGCGCGAAAGCCAGGGGAGCGAACGGG
This 429-nucleotide ribosomal RNA is filed under the name Verrucomicrobiota bacterium. Its description in RNAcentral is "Verrucomicrobia bacterium partial 16S ribosomal RNA". It matches the Rfam family "Bacterial small subunit ribosomal RNA", at positions 355 to 776 of the family's 1533-position model. Lineage: Bacteria; Pseudomonadati; Verrucomicrobiota. The record is from RNAcentral.